UGGCUGUCGUCAGCUCGUGUCGUGAGAUGUUCGGUUAAGUCCGCUAACGAGCGCAACCCUCGCUGUGUGUUACAAGUGUCACACGGAACUGCCGGUCAUAAACCGGAGGAAGGUGAGGAUGAUGUCAAGUCAGCAUGACCUCUAUAUCCAGGGCUACACACACGCUACAAUGGUCUGUACAAUGGGUAGCCAAGCCGCGAGGCGGAGCCAAUCCUGAAAGCAGGCCUCAGUUCAGAUUGCAGUCUGCAACUCGACUGCAUGAAGCCGGAGUUGCUAGUAACCGCAGGUCAGCAAUACUGCGGUGAAUACGUUCCCGGGUCUU
RNAcentral lists this ribosomal RNA (322 nucleotides) under uncultured Anaerolineaceae bacterium. RNAcentral's name for it is "bacterial SSU rRNA". It matches the Rfam family "Bacterial small subunit ribosomal RNA", at positions 1046 to 1382 of the family's 1533-position model. The record is from RNAcentral. Lineage: Bacteria; Bacillati; Chloroflexota; Anaerolineae; Anaerolineales; Anaerolineaceae.